RNAcentral lists this transfer RNA (72 nucleotides) under Ovis aries (sheep). It matches the Rfam family "tRNA". Rfam says of the family: Transfer RNA (tRNA) molecules are approximately 80 nucleotides in length. Their secondary structure includes four short double-helical elements and three loops (D, anti-codon, and T loops). The record is from Rfam by way of RNAcentral. Lineage: Eukaryota; Metazoa; Chordata; Mammalia; Artiodactyla; Bovidae.
UCCCUGGUGGCUCAGACGGUAAAGCGUCUGCCUGCAAUGCAGGACACCCGGGUUCGAUCCCUGGGUUGGGAA